This 504-nucleotide ribosomal RNA is filed under the name uncultured bacterium. Its description in RNAcentral is "partial 16S ribosomal RNA". It matches the Rfam family "Bacterial small subunit ribosomal RNA", at positions 28 to 523 of the family's 1533-position model. The record is from RNAcentral.
GAUGAACGCUAGCGAUAGGCUUAACACAUGCAAGUCGAGGGGCAGCAUAAAUGUAGCAAUACAUUGGUGGCGACCGGCGCACGGGUGAGUAACGCGUAGGCAACCUACCCAUAACAGGGGGAUAACACGGCGAAAGUCGUGCUAAUACCGCCUAACACAGGGGUCCCGCAUGGGAAUAUUUGUUAAAGAUUUAUUGGUUAUGGAGGGGCAUGCGUUCCGUUAGGUAGUUGGUAAGGUAAUGGCUUACCAAGCAAUCGAUGGAUAGGGGUUCUGAGAGGAAGGUCCCCCAGACUGGUAAUGAGACACGGACCAGACUCCUACGGGAGGCAGCAGUGAGGAAUAUUGGUCAAUGGGCGAGAGCCUGAACCAGCCAAAUCGCGUGAAAGAUGACGGUAUUAUGUAUUGUAAACUUCUUUUAUUAGGGAAUAAAGUGCAGGACGUGUCCUGUUUUGUAUGUACCUAACGAAUAAGCAUCGGCUAACUCCGUGCCAGCCGCCGCCGUAA